UGUGUAGGCGGUUUGGUAAGUCUGGUGUGAAAUCUCCCGGCUCAACUGGGAGGGUGCGCCGGAAACUGCUGGACUAGAGUGCGGGAGAGGAAAGUGGAAUUCCUGGUGUAGCGGUGAAAUGCGUAGAUAUCAGGAGGAACACCGGUGGUGUAGACGGCUUUCUGGACCGUAACUGACGCUGAGACACGAAAGCGUGGGUAGCAAACAGGAUUAGAUACCCUGGUAGUCCACGCCCUAAACGAUGCAUAUUUGGUGUGGGCAGUUCAUUCUGUCCGUGCCGGAGCUAACGCGUUAAAUAUGCCGCCUGGGGAGUACAGUCGCAAGGCUGAA
This 330-nucleotide ribosomal RNA is filed under the name uncultured bacterium. Its description in RNAcentral is "bacterial SSU rRNA". It matches the Rfam family "Bacterial small subunit ribosomal RNA", at positions 568 to 898 of the family's 1533-position model. The record is from RNAcentral.